UCCAGCCUAGGCGACAAAACGAGACCCUGUUUUGUUUUGUUUUUUUUUUUUUUUUUUGAGACAGAGUCUCGUUCUGUUGCCCAAGCUGGA
This 90-nucleotide microRNA precursor is filed under the name Pongo abelii (Sumatran orangutan). Its description in RNAcentral is "miRNA". The record is from RNAcentral. Lineage: Eukaryota; Metazoa; Chordata; Mammalia; Primates; Hominidae.